AUUGAACGCUGGCGGCAGGCCUAACACAUGCAAGUCGAGCGGAUGAAGGGAGCUUGCUCCUGGAUUCAGCGGCGGACGGGUGAGUAAUGCCUAGGAAUCUGCCUGGUAGUGGGGGAUAACGUCCGGAAACGGGCGCUAAUACCGCAUACGUGCUGAGGGAGAAAGUGGGGGAUCUUCGGACCUCACGCUAUCAGAUGAGCCUAGGUCGGAUUAGCUAGUUGGUGGGGUAAAGGCCUACCAAGGCGACGAUCCGUGACUGGUCUGAGAGGAUGAUCGGUCACACUGGAACUGAGACACGGUCCAGACUCCUACGGGAGGCAGCAGUGGGGAAUAUUGGACAAUGGGCGAAAGCCUGAUCCAGCCAUGCCGCGUGUGUGAAGAAGGUCUUCGGAUUGUAAAGCACUUUAAGUUGGGAGGAAGGGCAGUAAGUUAAUACCUUGCUGUUUUGACGUUACCAACAGAAUAAGCACCGGCUAACUUCGUG
RNAcentral lists this ribosomal RNA (484 nucleotides) under uncultured bacterium. RNAcentral's name for it is "partial 16S ribosomal RNA". It matches the Rfam family "Bacterial small subunit ribosomal RNA", at positions 30 to 507 of the family's 1533-position model. The record is from RNAcentral.